UUCCUAGUAGCUCAGUGGUAGAGUCGCUCUGUAAUUCGUGUAUAUUGAUGUAAUAUUCGUAUUGCUAAAUAUUCGUACAUGUUAAGGAAGGUCAUCGGUUCGAAUCCGAUCUAGGAAA
RNAcentral lists this transfer RNA (118 nucleotides) under Caudoviricetes sp. Its description in RNAcentral is "tRNA-Thr". It matches the Rfam family "tRNA". Rfam says of the family: Transfer RNA (tRNA) molecules are approximately 80 nucleotides in length. Their secondary structure includes four short double-helical elements and three loops (D, anti-codon, and T loops). Further hydrogen bonds mediate the characteristic L-shaped molecular structure. tRNAs have two regions of fundamental functional importance: the anti-codon, which is responsible for specific mRNA codon recognition, and the 3' end, to which the tRNAs corresponding amino acid is attached (by aminoacyl-tRNA synthetases). tRNAs cope with the degeneracy of the genetic code in two manners: having more than one tRNA (with a specific anti-codon) for a particular amino acid; and 'wobble' base-pairing, i.e. permitting non-standard base-pairing at the 3rd anti-codon position. The record is from RNAcentral. Lineage: Duplodnaviria; Heunggongvirae; Uroviricota; Caudoviricetes.